AGAAACUUAGGAUAACCAGACCAAGAGCCUUCAAAAGCCCUAAGUAGAAGUUAAACUCUUCUAGUUUCUG
Molecule: transfer RNA, 70 nt
Filed under: Kaloula borealis (Manchurian narrowmouth toad)
Lineage: Eukaryota; Metazoa; Chordata; Amphibia; Anura; Microhylidae
Description: tRNA-Trp
Rfam family: tRNA
About the family: Transfer RNA (tRNA) molecules are approximately 80 nucleotides in length. Their secondary structure includes four short double-helical elements and three loops (D, anti-codon, and T loops).
Source: RNAcentral